GGCGGAUGUAGCCAAGUGGCUCAAGGCAGUGGAUUGUGAAUUCACCAUGCGCGGGUUCAAUUCCCGUCGUUCGC
Molecule: transfer RNA, 74 nt
Filed under: Heterocentron elegans
Lineage: Eukaryota; Viridiplantae; Streptophyta; Magnoliopsida; Myrtales; Melastomataceae
Description: tRNA-His
Rfam family: tRNA
About the family: Transfer RNA (tRNA) molecules are approximately 80 nucleotides in length. Their secondary structure includes four short double-helical elements and three loops (D, anti-codon, and T loops).
Source: RNAcentral